CCUACGGGAGGCAGCAGUGAGGAAUAGUGGUCAAUGGGCGCGAGCCUGAACCAGCCAAGUAGCGUGAAGGAUGACUGCCCUACGGGUUGUAAACUGCGUUUAUAAAGGAAUAAAGUGAGGCACGUGUGCCUUGUUGGAUGUACUGUAUGAAUAAGGAUCGGCUAACUCCGUGCCAGCAGCCGCGGUAAUACGGAGGAUCCGAGCGUUAUCCGGAUUUAUUGGGUUUAAAGGGAGCGUAGAGGGGUUGUUAAGUCAGUUGUGAAAGUUUGCGGCUCAACCGGAAAAUUGCAAUUGAUACUGGCAGUCUUGAGUACAGUUGCGGUCGGCUGCAUUCGUGGUGUAGCGG
Molecule: ribosomal RNA, 346 nt
Filed under: uncultured bacterium
Lineage: Bacteria
Description: partial 16S ribosomal RNA
Rfam family: Bacterial small subunit ribosomal RNA
Source: RNAcentral